This is a long non-coding RNA of Pogoniulus pusillus (Red-fronted tinkerbird), 1268 nucleotides long. RefSeq lists it as uncharacterized. NCBI's taxonomy places the organism in Eukaryota, Metazoa, Chordata, Aves, Piciformes, Lybiidae. The record is from RefSeq and is a predicted model, not a curated record. The transcript has 2 exons.
GCAGAAACUGCUUUAGCUCCUUUGGCCUCAAGUUGUGCCAAGGGAAGUUUAGGUUGCACACUAGGAAGAAUUUCUCCACUAAAAGGGUUAUCGGGCAUUGGGAGAGGCUGCCCAGGGAGGUGGGGGAGUCCCCAUCUCUGGAGGGAUUUGGGAGUCACGUAGUACUGAGGGACGUGGUUUAGUCAAAGACUUAUCAGUGUCUGUCCAGUGAUUGGACUCGAUGAUCUCAAAGGUCUUUCCCAAUCUCGGCAGGUCUUUGUUUCUGUGGUUUCUUUGGUUCCUUUAGCUUAGAAAGGCUCUAUAAAACAUCAGUGCAACCCCUCACAUCAUCCAAGCUACAAUAGGAAAUCUCUCAUUUCUACCAAAGGAAGCAGGAACUUUUAGCACAGCAAAUUCUGAAUACUUAUGAAACCAUUGUGCACUAUUUUUAAUGAACACUCCUUACUUUUCAUUUUGAGUCAUGCCCCUGUAUUCUGUUAGCCUUUUUUCCACCCCCUCAUUUGUACUAAAAGAUGUCGCCGUCGUUGUGGAAUUCAGUGUCUGGCAGCUCUGUAAGACAGGUUGACUUUGUUUUCUGCUUUGGGCAAAACAAAGCUGUGUUACCUGGGCAUGCAGAUGGCAGCAUGAGUGUUUCUUCACUAAAACUCUGUUCACCAAAACCCCAAUUUAAAUGUCAGACUCAUCAGGUCAGGAGUCUGUGUGCUUCCAGAGUGUGCUAGAAGGAGGUGGCCUUCAGUUUGCACUUCCUUGUCUUGGUGGACACAAGAAUUUCUGUGAGAUUGGGCAGGACCCAUCCACCUCCUCACACCCUGCUUGUGCUGCAAUCAUUUCUCACCUAAUUUAGUGUCAAACUCUCAUCCAAAAUGAAGUUUGAAGGUUAAAAGGCAGGAGUUGAAUGCAAAGAGACCAAAAGAAGCAAAACACCCAGAAAUAGCUUCAUGUUAGAGUGCUGAGAGGGAUUAUGAGGGGUUUUCUGUGUAAAACUAGUAUGAUCUCAGAGGAUGUUUUGAAAUCCCCAGCAAAUCACUUCUCACAGAGACUGGAUUAAGAUCUGUGGAGUAACUGCAGUCCACAGCCUGUAAUACAGCACACAAACAAGUAACAGGUGGAAACAGAAAGAAAAGAUCCAGAAGGUUGCAUCACUUCCCAGGCUUUUCCAAACUUGUUUCAUUAGAACACUACAACAGCUGUGUGCUAAGGAGCAUUCUUUUAUGUAUUUACUUGGAGAAAUUACAAUAAACUAAGGUGACCAGGGAUUGUCUGAAUAA